Molecule: ribosomal RNA, 679 nt
Filed under: Cryptosporidium felis
Lineage: Eukaryota; Apicomplexa; Conoidasida; Eucoccidiorida; Cryptosporidiidae
Description: partial small subunit ribosomal RNA
Rfam family: Eukaryotic small subunit ribosomal RNA
Source: RNAcentral
AUAAUUUAUUUUGUGACAUAUCAUUCAAGUUUCUGACCUAUCAGCUUUAGACGGUAGGGUAUUGGCCUACCGUGGCUAUGACGGGUAACGGGGAAUUAGGGUUCGAUUCCGGAGAGGGAGCCUGAGAAACGGCUACCACAUCUAAGGAAGGCAGCAGGCGCGCAAAUUACCCAAUCCUAAUACAGGGAGGUAGUGACAAGAAAUAACAAUACAGGACUUUACGGUUUUGUAAUUGGAAUGAGUUAAGUAUAAACCCCUUUACAAGUAUCAAUUGGAGGGCAAGUCUGGUGCCAGCAGCCGCGGUAAUUCCAGCUCCAAUAGCGUAUAUUAAAGUUGUUGCAGUUAAAAAGCUCGUAGUUGGAUUUCUGUUAAUACCUUAUAUAUAAUAUUUUUUUUUAAAUAUUAUUAUGUAAGAUUAACAUAAUUCAUAUUUUUUAAGACUGAAUUUUUAGUUUUGAUAAUAUGAAAUUUUACUUUGAGAAAAUUAGAGUGCUUAAAGCAGGCUUUUGCCUUGAAUACUCCAGCAUGGAAUAAUAAUAAAAGAUUUUUAUCUUUUUUUUAUUGGUUCUAAGAUAAAAAUAAUGAUUAAUAGGGACAGUUGGGGGCAUUUGUAUUUAACAGUCAGAGGUGAUAUUCUUAGAUUUGUUAAAGACAAACUAAUGCGAAAGCAUUUGCCAAG